Molecule: unclassified non-coding RNA, 302 nt
Organism: Cricetulus griseus (Chinese hamster)
Lineage: Eukaryota; Metazoa; Chordata; Mammalia; Rodentia; Cricetidae
Gene: 7SK
Rfam family: 7SK RNA
About the family: 7SK was discovered as an abundant small nuclear RNA in the mid-70s but a possible function has only recently been suggested.
Source: Ensembl
GCGUAUGUGGGCGAUCUGGCUGCGACAUCUGUCACCCCAUUGAUCGCCAGGGUUGAUUUGGCUGAUCUGGCUGGCUAGGCAGGUGUCCCCUUCCUCCCUCACCUCUCCAUGUGCGUCCCUCCCGAAGCUGCACGCUCAGUCGAAGAGGACGACCUUCCCUGAAUAGAGGAGGUCUUCGGUCAAGGGUAUAGGAGUAGCUGCGCUCCCCUGCUAGAACCUCCAAACAAGCUCUCAAGAUGGGUUGUAGGCAAGCCUGAAGGGCAUUUUCUUAAUCACUGAUUGAUGGGGGAGGACCCAGCUCA